RNAcentral lists this ribosomal RNA (403 nucleotides) under uncultured bacterium. Its description in RNAcentral is "partial 16S ribosomal RNA". It matches the Rfam family "Bacterial small subunit ribosomal RNA", at positions 30 to 526 of the family's 1533-position model. The record is from RNAcentral.
AUUGAACGCUGGCGGCAGGCUUAACACAUGCAAGUCGAGCGAGCGGCGGACGGGUGAGUAAUGUUUGGGGACUGCCCGAUAGAGGGGGAUAACUACUGGAAACGGUGGCUAAUACCGCAUACUCUCGGAUAACCCAUAUUGGAUUAGCUAGUAGGGUGGGUAAAUGCUAACCUGGGCGACGAUCUCUAGCUGGUCUGAGAGGAUGAUAAGCCACACUGGGACUGAGACACGGCCCGGACUCCUACGGAGGCAGCAGUGGGGAAUAUUGAGCAAUGGGCGCAAGCUUGAUGCAGCAAUGCCGCGUGUAUGAAGAAGGCCUUAGGGUUGUAAAGUACUUUCAGCGGGGAGGCGUUACCCGCAGAAGAAGCAACGGCUAACUACGUGCCAGCCACCGCGGUAAUAC